GACGAACGCUGGCGGCGUGCCUAACACAUGCAAGUCGAGCGAGUGAGUCUCCUUCGGGAGUGAAGCUAGCGGCGGACGGGUGAGUAACACGUGGGCAACCUGCCUCAUAGAGGGGAAUAGCCUUUCGAAAGGAAGAUUAAUACCGCAUAAGAUUGUAGCUUCGCAUGAAGUAGCAAUUAAAGGAGCAAUCCGCGAUGAGAUGGGCCCGCGGCGCAUUAGCUAGUUGGUGAGGUAACGGCUCACCAAGGCGACGAUGCGUAGCCGACCUGAGAGGGUGAUCGGCCACAUUGGGACUGAGACACGGCCCAGACUCCUACGGGAGGCAGCAGUGGGGAAUAUUGACAAUGGGGGAAACCCUGAUGCAGCAACGCCGCGUGAGUGAUGACGGCCUUCGGGUUGUAAAGCUCUGUCUUCAGGGACGAUAAUGACGGUACCUGAGGAGGAAGCCACGGCUAACUACGUGCCAGCAGCCGCCGUAA
This 479-nucleotide ribosomal RNA is filed under the name uncultured bacterium. Its description in RNAcentral is "partial 16S ribosomal RNA". It matches the Rfam family "Bacterial small subunit ribosomal RNA", at positions 28 to 523 of the family's 1533-position model. The record is from RNAcentral.